RNAcentral lists this ribosomal RNA (412 nucleotides) under bacterium enrichment culture clone ALO1_GLFRUDD03G2AS2. Its description in RNAcentral is "bacterial SSU rRNA". It matches the Rfam family "Bacterial small subunit ribosomal RNA", at positions 9 to 420 of the family's 1533-position model. The record is from RNAcentral.
GAGUUUGAUCCUGGCUCAGAUUGAACGCUGGCGGCAUGCCUUACACAUACAAGUCGAACGGCAGCACGGGAGCUUGCUCCUGGUGGCGAGUGGCGAGCGGGUGAGUAAUGCAUCGGAACGUAUCCUGGAGUGGGGGAUAACGUAGCGAAAGUUACGCUAAUACCGCAUAUUCUGUGAGCAGGAAAGCGGGGGACCUUCGGGCCUCGCGCUCUUGGAGCGGCCGAUGUCGGAUUAGCUAGUUGGUGAGGUAAAGGCUCACCAAGGCGACGAUCCGUAGCAGGUCUGAGAGGAUGAUCUGCCACACUGGAACUGAGACACGGUCCAGACUCCUACGGGAGGCAGCGAGUGGGGAAUUUUGGACAAUGGGGGCAACCCUGAUCCAGCCAUGCCGCGUGAGUGAAGAAGGCCUCGG